RNAcentral lists this ribosomal RNA (253 nucleotides) under uncultured bacterium. RNAcentral describes it as "partial 16S ribosomal RNA". It matches the Rfam family "Bacterial small subunit ribosomal RNA", at positions 524 to 776 of the family's 1533-position model. RNAcentral also lists the same sequence under 1 other name. The record is from RNAcentral.
UACGUAGGGUGCAAGCGUUGUCCGGAAUUAUUGGGCGUAAAGAGCUCGUAGGCGGUUUGUCGCGUCUGCUGUGAAAUCCCGAGGCUCAACCUCGGGCUUGCAGUGGGUACGGGCAGACUAGAGUGCGGUAGGGGAGAUUGGAAUUCCUGGUGUAGCGGUGGAAUGCGCAGAUAUCAGGAGGAACACCGAUGGCGAAGGCAGAUCUCUGGGCCGUAACUGACGCUGAGGAGCGAAAGCGUGGGGAGCGAACAGG